UUAUGGCUCAGGAUGAACGCUGGCGGCGUGCCUAAUACAUGCAAGUCGAACGAGGUAGCAAUACCGAGUGGCGAACGGGUGAGUAACACGUAGGUAACCUGCCCUUAAGCUUGGGAUACCCAGAGGAAACUUGGCUAAUACCGGAUAACAACAGAGAAGGCAUCUUCUUUGCUUGAAAGGCCCCUUCAAGGGUCACUUAAGGAUGGACCUGCGGCGCAUUAGCUAGUUGGUGAGAUAACAGCCCACCAAGGCGAGGAUGCGUAGCCGAACUGAGAGGUUGAUCGGCCACAUUGGAACUGAGACACGGUCCAAACUCCUACGGGAGGCAGCAGUAAGGAGUUUUCGGCAAUGGGGGAAACCCUGACCGAGCAACGCCGCGUGAGCGAUGACGGUCCUUUGGAAUUGUAAAGCUCUGUUGUAAGCCAUGAAUGACAGCUUGAGGAAAUGCAAGUUGUUUGACGACAGCUUACCAGAAAGCCACGGCUAACUACGUGCCAGCCGCCGC
This 505-nucleotide ribosomal RNA is filed under the name uncultured bacterium. Its description in RNAcentral is "bacterial SSU rRNA". It matches the Rfam family "Bacterial small subunit ribosomal RNA", at positions 17 to 518 of the family's 1533-position model. The record is from RNAcentral.